This is a long non-coding RNA of Sinocyclocheilus anshuiensis, 1927 nucleotides long. The record is from Ensembl. Lineage: Eukaryota; Metazoa; Chordata; Actinopteri; Cypriniformes; Cyprinidae.
CUAUUGUAUAUUUUGUCCAUGUAAUGGAAGUCAAAUUGGAACCAAAACCCUUCGGUCACCAACAUUCUUCCAAAUAUCUUCUUUUAUGUUCCACAGAAGAAAACAAGUCAUACAGGGAAUGACAUGAAGGUGAGUACAUGAUAGAAUUUUCAAUUUUGGAUGGACUAUCCCUCUCAUUUAAAUUGUUGUUUUUAUUUUUUCUGCCUCUUUUAACCUCCAUCAUGUUUCUUUUGCCACCUUAUCUCAAAGAUAAUCAGCCACACUCUUUCUAACACACUAACAAACACACUCACAGUCAGAGCUGUCAGUGAGCCAAAUCGUAUGCAGUAAUCCCUUUGUAUUCACAAACCCAUCCAGACAAACAAUGUGUCCCGGCCAUGUCCCACCCCCAGCACACCAGACCUAGGCCACCUGCAAACUCGUCACCAUCCACACAAAUACAAACCAAAGGAUGAAGACCAGCAAGAUUGUGUCAGUGUGUGAUUUACUGUAACAUAUAUCUCUGACACUCGUGCAUGUUAUGAAUUUUCUUUCCAUUUGGAAACUGGUAACCGUGUGCAAAUACUCUCCCUCCAGUCUGUUCUUCUUCUCUACACUCCACUCAUAUGUUCUCCAAAUCCUCCACAAAUCCCCCUCACACAAGCUGAGAUGAUAAGUGAUCCUCUUCUGUUGUCGCCUGGAGGAGACAAUGCUCAACAACUGCGUUCAACAUCAUCAAUCUCAGAGGACAUCCAUCACACAAACAAAAGACGAAAUGAAAACAUCCACAGAGAUGCAAGUGCAAUUGGAGCACAGAAACUGAGGAGUGGGAGUGAUUUUAUGGAAUUGUGAUGACAGGAAUCCUUCAGUUUUAGAUAUACAUCGUUCUUUAUCAGUUUUCCACCAGAAUGCUCUAAAAUUAUACUAUAUGCUUUGCUUUUAUUGCAUUACUCGCUGCUUUUCUUCAAAUAUAAGAUCUCUCAAACUAAGUUUAUCCUUUUUUGCCUGCUUGUCAAUUUACCUUUGGGAAAACCUAAGUUUGGCGCAGUAAGCAGGGUUUUGAACCAACAAGUUCCUGUGGCAACAUAAAGACAUGGUGGUCAAAGCUCUAAUCCAUUCCAAAUGGAUGUACACGUCAAGUGUGUUACAUUAACCUGUUAAUCCUCAGACUGUUUGUGGGAGGGGGCUGGUGGGUUUAUACACAAUUAACCUGGUAGACCAUGCUGCUUCAUGAUUGGCUGAAACAGAAAAAGCCUCAAAACCCUCUCAUUUAAAUGAGUUUGUCAUUGGAUGCUAUUAUCUAAAAACGCUCAGAAGUAAUGACUUUUAUAAUGCUUAACAUGGUUGUUUUUGCCAUAGAAACGAAACCUAUUGUUCACAUAAACCAGUGAGAAAAGGCAAAAAGAUAAUAAUGUUUUAAUCUGACUUGUUGAACCAUACACGCUCAGUCUAUGAACAUUAUGUUUCAUUUUCAGUAAGCGAUGGCUAAAUUUCAAAUAAAAACUUUAGGUUUAAGUUUUGGAAACACAAGAAUGGGCCAUGGGUAAAGCAUGUAAGAGAGUCAGAUCGAGCGGAGAUUGUUGUAGACCACCUCAGGUUAAGCUGACAAUGUCCUGGGAAGACCAACAAGAUUAUAGCUAUGAACACCUGUUCCAGAUCUUCAAACCAGCCAGUGUGACCUGCUGCUCUGACAUUUAGUAACUUAAUAAGAAAUAUGAAGAGCCUAUGAAUAAGCAACCUGUUGACCAGAUGAGAUGGUUGGUUUUUACAAAACAGUUUUAAUAUUCCUAUUUUUUUUUCAUUUCAUGUUUUGCUCAGUUCCUACUGUCAUUUUGACAUAAUUAGUAGCUCAUGUACCUGCUAAUUGUUUUAUUGUGUUCUACUGUCACUCAAAUAAAGAAUUACAAUUAUUCUUACUGUGUGAAUACAUAAUAAGCUUCAUAUCUUG